UGGGGAAUCUUGCGCAAUGGCCGAAAGGCUGACGCAGCGACGCCGCGUGUGGGAGGACGCCCUUCGGGGUGUAAACCACUGUUGCCCGGGACGAACAUCCUCUUUCGAGAGGACUGACGGUACCGGGUGAGGAAGCACCGGCUAACUCCGUGCCAGCAGCCGCGGUAAUACGGAGGGUGCGAGCGUUGUCCGGAAUCACUGGGCGUAAAGGGCGCGUAGGUGGCGCGGGUAGUCAUCGGUGAAAGCUCAGGGCUCAACCCUGAGUCGGCCGGUGAUACUCCCGCGCUCGAGUGUGGUAGAGGCCAAUGGAAUUCCGGGUGUAGCGGUGGAAUGCGUAGAGAUCCGGAAGAACACCGGUGGCGAAGGCGGUUGGCUGGGCCACAACUGACACUGAUGCGCGACAGCGUGGGGAGCAAACA
Molecule: ribosomal RNA, 419 nt
Filed under: uncultured Gemmatimonas sp.
Lineage: Bacteria; Pseudomonadati; Gemmatimonadota; Gemmatimonadia; Gemmatimonadales; Gemmatimonadaceae
Description: bacterial SSU rRNA
Rfam family: Bacterial small subunit ribosomal RNA
Source: RNAcentral